This 199-nucleotide long non-coding RNA is filed under the name Sorghum bicolor (sorghum). Its description in RNAcentral is "long non-coding RNA (SBIC_LNC013631)". The record is from RNAcentral. Lineage: Eukaryota; Viridiplantae; Streptophyta; Magnoliopsida; Poales; Poaceae.
CUGGCCUAGCGCCUCCGGCCGAAGUUAGUGCUUGUACGUGGCUUUUUUCCUUGGGUUACUUGUCUUUUCUUUUCAUCAUUGGCUGACAUGUUUGUUGUUUUGUUUUUCCAGCAACCUCCAAUUCGACGAUUUGAGGUUGGGCGAGCACUAUACAUGAAGUGCAUAGCGUUAUCGGAUGUUUGUUUUUUGACCUGCUGGU